CUGCUAAUACGCUGCGUAUUGACCUAUACGCAGCGUAUACUGACACUUCGUAUACGCUGCGUAUUGGUCAAUACGCAGCGUAUAAAGCCUUCUGAACUUUAAAUUCACACAGAACCUGUUAUAUUCCAGAGACACUCGUUAGGCCUGUACGCAGUUACUACAUAUAAGACAGACUUAGUUUCGACGCUCGUUAGGCCCGUACGCGCCUUACGGACGACGUCGACUAAAUAAUAUUUUUUUUAUUAUUUAGUCUACGUCGUCCGUAAGGCGCGUACGGGCCUAACGGGCGUCGAAACUUUUAACGACGGACUUAGUUUCGACGCCCGUUAGGCCCGUACGCGCCUUACGUACGACGUCGACUAAAUAAUAUUUUUUUUCUUAUUUAGUCGUCGUCCGUAAGGCGCGUACGGGCCUAACGGGCGUCGAAACUAAGCCCGUCGUUAAAAUUUUAACGACGGGCUUAGUUUCGACGCUCGUUAGGCCCGUACGCGCCUUACGGACGACGUCGACUAAAUAAUAUUUUUUUUAUUAUUUAGUAGACGUCAUCCGUAAGGCGCGUACGGGCCUAAAGGGCAAUGACGGACUUAGUUUCGACGCUCGUUAGGCCCGUACGCGCCUUACGGACGACGUCGACUAAAUAAUAUUUUUUUUAUUAUUUAGUCGACGUCGUCCGUAAGUCGCGUACGGGCCUAACGAGCGUCGAAACUAAGCCCGUCGACGGGCUUAGUUUCGACGCUCGUUAGGCCCGUACGCGCCUUACGGACGACGUCGACUAAAUAAUAUUUUUUUUAUUAUUUAGUCGACGUCAUCCGUAAGGCGCGUACGGGCCUAACGGGCAACGACGGACUUAGUUUCGACGCUCGUUAGGCCCGUACGCGCCUUACGGACGACGUCGACUAAAUAAUAUUUUUUUUAUUAUUUAGUCGACGUCAUCCGUAAGGCGCGUACGGGCCUAACGGGCAACGACGGACUUAGUUUCGACGCUCGUUAGGCCCGUACGCGCCUUACGGACGACGUCGACUAAAUAAUAUUUUUUUUAUUAUUUAGUCGACGUCGUCCGUAAGGCGCGUACGGGCCUAACGGGCAACGACGGACCUAGUUUCGACGCUCGUUAGGCCCGUACGCGCCUUACGGACGACGUCGACU
RNAcentral lists this long non-coding RNA (1146 nucleotides) under Helianthus annuus (common sunflower). RNAcentral describes it as "hypothetical non coding rna". The record is from RNAcentral. Lineage: Eukaryota; Viridiplantae; Streptophyta; Magnoliopsida; Asterales; Asteraceae.